CACUUUAACUUGUACUGUUGAACCAGGGUUACACUUCAAUAAUUCAUGUGCAUAGUCAUGAAUUCUCUUGAACUAAUUUUUGAAACUACUUUCAAGUUUCUCAGAUGCCAUUAUCUUUGCCCUAUGAGCUUUAGAAAGGGUGACAUUGGUAUUCCAUUUCCUCAAAGCUUUUGAGCGUAUUUCAUUUAUCUUCAAAUCUGGAUUUUGCUGCAUUGAAUUAUCCAAUGUGUCACUCAACCACUUAGCAUUCAUCAUUUUAAUGUUGAAUUGCCUACUGCAACUAUGGUUANCCACUACCUUUCUCAAUUGCCAUGUACUACAUCCUUCCAUAUACCCACAAUAAGCCAUCCAAGGACAACUCUUUUGGGCACCCAAACAUCUCACUCGUACCCGUNN
This 396-nucleotide long non-coding RNA is filed under the name Vigna radiata. RNAcentral's name for it is "long non-coding RNA (VRAD_LNC007681)". Lineage: Eukaryota; Viridiplantae; Streptophyta; Magnoliopsida; Fabales; Fabaceae. The record is from RNAcentral.